Long non-coding RNA from Drosophila busckii, 458 nucleotides. RefSeq lists it as uncharacterized. The transcript has 3 exons. The record is from RefSeq and is a predicted model, not a curated record. Lineage: Eukaryota; Metazoa; Arthropoda; Insecta; Diptera; Drosophilidae.
CUAUUUCAAAAAGCAACUUUUAUCCAUCAAAGCAGCGUUGGCCAACAUUUGGCACCAAUACUGGGAGCACUUAGCGCUAUCCUAAAGCAAUGCUCUAAGCCUAAAUAACAACCCACGCUCAAUUGCUCUACUGCAAGUUGUCCAAAACAAUCGAGAAUCCUCCGCCGCUGCUGCCCACGUAUGCCUGAGUAUAUAUCGACUUUUUCAUUAUGCUGCAGAGAGCAGCAGCAGCAGCAGCAGGAGAAGAAGGAAGCAAAGACUACAGUCCUCUGGUUCUGAUGACCUUAAAUUAAAUGUGCAGCACAUGAAUUAUGUAAGCUGUUUAAUAAAGUGAUUCCAUUUGCAUGCAACAGACUCGCACGCAUGCGCAGCGGGCAGUCCGGUCCGGUACGGGAACUGGCCGCUGGAAGAGACUUGCAACAACUUACUCACGAGGCAGAGGCAGAGGAGCAGAGCUG